ACCGGUGUCAUACCUCUGCACCAUCUCUCUGUCUCCUACACCCAGGAUGCUGUGGUCAGAGAGGUCGUAAAUUCCUGGAGGAGAAUAUCUCCUCAUGGCCAGAGUAUUUAGAGAAAGUGAGUUUUCAUAUAGAGAGAGAAGGAGGAUAUACACCCAAAAGGGUCACGUUGUGGCAAUACAGACAGGUGGUUAGUAAAGUAACCUGGAGUAAAGUGAGCCGGUACUCCAGAGGUGAAGAGAGGGCAGGGUGAAAGAAGAGGCCUAAAGGGCAGGAAGGAGCAGACUAGAAGAGGGUUGGUCAGUGUCCUCCUAGUCCUCACUGGCUCCGUGGUCAGUA
Oncorhynchus tshawytscha (Chinook salmon) is the source of this 337-nucleotide long non-coding RNA. The record is from Ensembl. NCBI's taxonomy places the organism in Eukaryota, Metazoa, Chordata, Actinopteri, Salmoniformes, Salmonidae.